UACCCCUUUGAUGCUUCUGAGCCUGC
This 26-nucleotide non-coding RNA is filed under the name Rattus norvegicus (Norway rat). Lineage: Eukaryota; Metazoa; Chordata; Mammalia; Rodentia; Muridae. The record is from RNAcentral.